Nycticebus coucang (slow loris) is the source of this 649-nucleotide RNA transcript. It is a transcript of the gene named signal recognition particle 19 kDa protein-like, with no coding region annotated. The transcript has a single exon. The record is from RefSeq and is a predicted model, not a curated record. NCBI's taxonomy places the organism in Eukaryota, Metazoa, Chordata, Mammalia, Primates, Lorisidae.
AUGGCCUGUGUUGCCCUUUGGUCCCCAGGACAGGUUCAUUUGUAUUUAUACUGCUUAUUUAAAUAACAAGAAGACCAUCACAAAAGGAAGGCAGAUACCCAUAAGUAAGGCUGUUGAAAACCCAACAGCUACAGAGAUUCAAGAUGUAUGUUUAGCAGUUGUACUGAAUGCAUUUCUUGAGAAAAAUAAAAUGUACUCCAGAGAAUGGGAUCGUAUUGUCCAAUACAGAGGCAGAGUCCGGGUUCAGCUCAAACAGGAAGAUGGCAGCCUCUGUCUUGUACAGUUCCCAUGACGUAAGUCAGUAAUGUUGUAUGCAGCAGAAAUGAUACCUAAACUAAAAAGAAGGACACAAAAAACAGGAGGUGGUAACCAAAGUGUUCAGCAAGGAGAGGGAAGUAAAAAAGGGAAAGGAAAGAAGACGUGACCUAGCAUGAGCGUCAUUUGUGUGAUACUGCAAGAGACAUGAAUGGAGGCUUCUCAUUAGUCUCUGAGAGAAACAGAGGCUUUUUGCUUGCAUUAUUUUACUAAACUAUGCAUAUUUGUGCCUCUCAUCAUCACCAGAGUUGACAAAUAAAUUUACAUCAGAACUUUCCAUCUAGCUUUUAUGCAGUAAAAAAGACUUUUUUUCUUUCAAUGCAAGUGUUUGUGG